CUAAAAUAAGGGUGACUCAACUAGAGGUUGUGUACAACACGUGUACUACGGACUUGUUGCAGAAAGAAAGCCGGGGGGUGGACUUAUGAUGACAGAUAUAAAGCGGUAACACAUAGGAUAAAUACUAUAAACAAAGAGCACGAAAACGCACAAAAGUGAAAAUAACACAAACAAUAACCACAAACAAUGCUUAUACACUCGUAAUGCCAAACAAAGCCGAUACGACUCCAAAAAUAGCUCGAAUUCUCAUACUUUCCCCACAGAGUCUCCAGAGCUGUCACACCCCUUUU
This 290-nucleotide long non-coding RNA is filed under the name Capsicum annuum. RNAcentral describes it as "long non-coding RNA (CANN_LNC020014)". The record is from RNAcentral. Lineage: Eukaryota; Viridiplantae; Streptophyta; Magnoliopsida; Solanales; Solanaceae.